Molecule: small nuclear RNA, 153 nt
Filed under: Fusarium vanettenii 77-13-4
Lineage: Eukaryota; Fungi; Ascomycota; Sordariomycetes; Hypocreales; Nectriaceae
Source: RNAcentral
GCCUUCGGGCAAAUGGUCUAUUUAUAACGAUACAGAGAAGAUGUACGUUUUCCCUCCCAACGUCGCAUGUUCGAUCCCCAACUAACAUCUUCACAGUAGCAUGGCCCCUGCACUAAGGAUGACACGCUCUUCAAAGAGAAGCUACCAAUUUUU